AUGCUCUCUUUGGCAGUACAUAUGCUAAAAUUGGAAUGAUACAGAGAAGAUUAGCAUGGCCCCUGCACAAAUAUGACAUGCAGAUUCAUGAAGCCUUCCAUAUUUUU
RNAcentral lists this small nuclear RNA (107 nucleotides) under Jaculus jaculus (lesser Egyptian jerboa). Lineage: Eukaryota; Metazoa; Chordata; Mammalia; Rodentia; Dipodidae. The record is from RNAcentral.